Molecule: long non-coding RNA, 813 nt
Filed under: Taeniopygia guttata (zebra finch)
Lineage: Eukaryota; Metazoa; Chordata; Aves; Passeriformes; Estrildidae
Description: lncRNA (ENSTGUG00000029000.1)
Source: RNAcentral
AUGGCACUUUUAUUUGGUGCCACCUCUCAUUUUUUAUGGACAAAACCCCAUAGUGAGCAAUCAGGACAGAAGUGGGAAACCCAGGAGCCUUUGCCUUCCACAGUGGACUUAAUUUCCAUUUUCUCUUCUCUUUCAGGACAGGAAGAAAUGCUUAACUCAUCCCAUCUUUGCCCAGAGCCUUGGUGUUUGAGCAGCCAAACCCAACAAGCUCCAGAACUGCUGGUCCUGCCCAUGGUGUGGGAUUCUGGACUUGCCUCUGUGGACAUGUGUGCUGAGCUCUCACUGCAGGGAACUGUCAGGCCUUGAUGGUUAUGAAUUAUACCCACAGCCCCAAAUUCCCUGCUGAAUUCCUGCUGGAAUAACCCAACAGUGCCUUGUGGAGUCUGGACAUUCCCAUGUAGAGCUGCCGUUGAACAGCAGCUGUGGCAGGAACCAGCAGAGGUUCCAGGACAAGGACAGGUUUGUAUUCCAUAGAAUUUGUUAUUUAUAACCCUCAUCCCCCAGCCCCACUGAUGUCCCUGGGGGACACUUGACAGAGUUCCCUGGAAUUCAGCUGAUUUCAUCCCCCUGAGCUCGGGCUCCAGUUGAAAUUUUAAAGCAGGAGAAGGUGAUGGCUCCUGGCCCGUGCUGAGGCAGCCCCUGUGCCCAGGGGAGGACAUCUCUCCCUGCAGGAGCUGACUCCAUCUCAGAGCCUCAGGAGUGCCUCUGCAGGUUCUUUUCCCUCAGGAAAGGGAUGCACAUCCCUGCUUCCAGCACACCUCCAGUGGGACCCACCUGUGAAAGUUUUCCAUCAGUUCUGUGGUUCCAGCUGGC